GUAAGAAAUUCCAGCCCCACUCUAGACCCAAAACUCCUUGGAAUUAAAUGUGGCAAUGGAAACCAGUUCAUUACAUGUGCAAUAAAUAACAAUAAUACAAAAAGGAGGCAAGGAAAAGGACACCCGAUUAAGUGCCUGUGUUAACCUGAAAAUAAAAAAAAGCAAAAUCUAAGAAAUUUGUUUGCAACAAAUGGGGGAGAAAAGAAAAGGAGAGAGAGACAAGACUAAAAUAAAAUCCAGUCGCUUGUAUUUUGGGUGCAUUAGUGUAUGUUCUGAGAUUCCCUGGUCACCCUCAGGACCAGAAGGCAUUUAGUGACCUGAGGAACUGACUGGAAAAAAUGAUAGCAAAAAGAAUAUUAAAAAAUUAAAAAUGGAGUUCUACACUGAAACCUGGAACCAUCUGAGAACCGUAUAUUGCACAUUUUCCUUGCAAAUACAAUAACCACAUUGCCAGAUUCACACUAUUCCUUUUUUGUUUUUUUUUUUUUGCUUUUUUGUUUUUCGCACUUGACCUAGAAACGCAACCUAUGCAUUUGUUAUACAUGGACAGAGCAUUGCGCAGACAUUAACACACUUGGAUUAAUACAAAAAAAGAGGGGUGUUCAAUUGCAAAGUCAUAAUUUAAGCCGUUUUCUGGACGAGUCAGGUAGAUUUCACACAAAAAAGAAAGAGGUGAAAGUAAAAGGUUAGAAGAGGAGAGGAAAUCUUUGAAGAAAACUGCUGCAGAAGUCACUUUUUCAGCAUAAAUAAUACAAAACUGGACAGAUUUAAACUGAUGACACCUGCUAUGGCUCAUGGGAGCAUGAAACUGUUAGAUUUGGUAGCUGUUGACCGAUUUCCCAACUUACAUGGCAAUUACUGAAGCCAAAAGGUUCAAUCUAGCACUCGCACACAAAUGUCAAGAGGUGUCAUCUUUGAAAACAAUCCAUAAUUCGACCAGUCGUUUGCUCUUCAAACUGCACCACCCAUGGCGACACGAUUCAGCACAUUCAAGCCCUUUUCAGAACUUUUCAGAGCGGGCAGCCACUCCGGCCAAACAAUCGUUUUUUGGGGUGUUUUCCUACAUGUUGCCGUUUCAGUAACCCUCGAGGUCUCCCUCUCCGUCGCACACGAAGCCUGCCUGUGAGAUUACCGAGCUUUACAGAGAACUCAGAAAUGAGGGAGAACAAGCGAGCUGGGCAACAAAGAAAGCUACCGCACUCCCAGAGUGGACGCUUAUUACAGUGAAGAAAACACACAAGAGCCAUUUUAAGUUGCCAGGAAUGAUUCCGCUGCCAACAACAGGCUUGAAAAUAAAAGCUGAAAUGGAUGGCGCCGCCUUCAGAGAGCAAGCUUCUGAGACAUUUCCGAGCUCAGAAAGCGUGCAAAGCAGCACAAAUGAAUUGUUUGCUCAUCUUCACGUCGUGGUGGGAGAGUAAACUCCGAUGUGCUCGCGCUGACAGUCGGCGUGAAGCUGCCGAACCACCUCCAAUCCAAAUUUCACGCAACUCCCCCCGAGCUCCACUCGGAUCCUCGCAGGAGAUAACAAACGGGCUGACAGGAGGUCAAGGUCGAAGCAGAGACGAUGAAGCUCUGACAGAUGGCGGCCUCGCUUCCUGCCGGAGACCGUUUGGAGUCGAUGCCCUCACCUAUCUGCAGCGAGGCACGCUCAGGCCUCCUGUAAGCCUCUUAGCUUGGCUGUCAAGCAUAGCAGCGCUGACAUCUCAAUGUGGAAUCCACACGCCGGCGGUGAGGAGGUCGAAGCUCCCGAGAGCUCCGUAGAAAUUUGGGGACAUUAAAACAAAAUCAGCUCUGCGUGAUUUUAAAUUUCAUGCAUGUUCUCGUCUUGCGGAGCCAAUUAUCUGUUAGAGAUUGAAGUGUCAAUCUGACUCAGAGGCGCAAACAUCUCACCAGAGAAGCCUAUAAUAAGUAGCAAGCCUAGGCAAGAGGGUAGAGCCAAAAAAUCAAUGGAAAAGGGAAAAAACAGCACCUUCGUUACCAGCACAGCGAGACACCUCUGACAAGAGAAGACACCCAAGGACUCGAGCAGGUACAGAGAGGAGACGUGUGGGGAAAAAAGGCGGGAGGAGAACAUCGCAGCACAGCGUCUUUCUGUCUCUGACUGAAUCUCUCUUGAAGAAGUUUGAAACGAGGAGUUGUUAGCACCAUAGAAAGCACCGGCGGCAGAGACGAUGUCUGACCGUCACUGUGGCGAAGACCUGACCCUUCAAUGGGUUCAUCGCUCGCUUGUUUGAAAAAUACUCGACAAAUACACGAGGAGUUAGUGAAAGGUUUUGUUCACACUGUAGAACUUUACGAUGCAUGAAAACUGGAAUCUGCUGGUUGUAAAAUAGACACUGAAGUUCCAUCAAGUCAAAAAGUGUUGCUUCUGUUCUGUUGCCUUUCGAGUGAAAUUCGAACUACGCUUUUGUAGUGGGCCUCAUCACAUUAUUUCGGACGAAAAAAAUGCAUUACCAGGCAGUUUGUUUCGGCAUCUGCAACAAAUCACAGUGGGGUUUUCCAGCUAAACUGCUAUUCAUAGCAAUUCUGGAACAGCUGAUCAGCUCAAGAUGAUGGACAUCUGGCAACCAAUGAGAAAUAAAAUUGGAACAUGUCAUGAGCAGAAUGAACACAACCAUGCAGACCAAAAGGCGACUAAACCUGCACAGAUGUAGCCUUUGUUUCAACGUCAGACCUUCUCCACGGUACAGAGCAGCCAUGCAGUGUUUUACAUUGUACAGAAAUGUGGUAACCUUUCUUCUGGGGUAGUUACAGUAGCACCGUGUGUUUGGGGGUGUGUUUUUUAACAGCUUAAUCACCUGAAGGAAAAAGCUGACGUACAGUAAAGAGAUAUCAUCAUAAAACAGACACUUAAACAUGACGAGGACUCCGGUUGGAUGAAGCCGAGGCUGAAAAUUGAACUGACUGCAAAGCAACACGACUGACUGUAACCUAGAACUGCAAACCAGGUCACUGCGAUGAGAAUCACCGGUCGAAUUUCUAUGUAUUCAUGUGUUUAACCCUCAGAAAUACCAAGUCUUACAAAGACAUAACAGCACACAACAGUUACAGGAUUUUCACCAAUUACAAACACAAUACUCGCCUAUGAGCUGGCGAGAUGGUUGAGGGCUCAUUGUUUUUGGUUUUAAAUCAUUUUUUACCAGUAGAUCAUCUUUCAAAAUGGAAAUUUCCAAUUUUACGCAGGCCGAUUACAAUGUUCAGUGUUUAAAGCAAUAAUAAUAAAGGGAAAAGUGGGAACAAGGCUAGAAGUU
Amphiprion ocellaris (clown anemonefish) is the source of this 3251-nucleotide long non-coding RNA. Lineage: Eukaryota; Metazoa; Chordata; Actinopteri; Pomacentridae. The record is from Ensembl.